GGCCACCCUAGCUCAGCUGGUAGAGCAACNNCGUCACUGAUAAUGACGAGGUCCGAGGUUCGACUCCUCGUGUGCCCACCA
Molecule: transfer RNA, 81 nt
Filed under: Candidatus Jacksonbacteria bacterium
Lineage: Bacteria; Candidatus Jacksoniibacteriota
Description: tRNA-Ile
Rfam family: tRNA (bases 9-70)
About the family: Transfer RNA (tRNA) molecules are approximately 80 nucleotides in length. Their secondary structure includes four short double-helical elements and three loops (D, anti-codon, and T loops). Further hydrogen bonds mediate the characteristic L-shaped molecular structure. tRNAs have two regions of fundamental functional importance: the anti-codon, which is responsible for specific mRNA codon recognition, and the 3' end, to which the tRNAs corresponding amino acid is attached (by aminoacyl-tRNA synthetases). tRNAs cope with the degeneracy of the genetic code in two manners: having more than one tRNA (with a specific anti-codon) for a particular amino acid; and 'wobble' base-pairing, i.e. permitting non-standard base-pairing at the 3rd anti-codon position.
Source: RNAcentral